CAGUUUCUAUUUGCUGAGGGCAGAUAAAGUGAAUAUGUGAGUCAAUACCUCCGGCGGUGGCUAUCAAGCCCUCUCCCGCUAUGACCUCGGUAGCCGCCCCAAUUACCAGGCCGGGAGUCACUCCCUCCAUGAUAUCAGGAUUGCCGGAUUUCCCUAUUCCCACUAUUUUUCCGUCCUUAAUACCUAUAUCCCCCUUGACUAUACCCCAGGAAUCUAUUAUUACCACAUUUGUAACAAGCAUAUCCAGGGCCCCGGUUUUCACAGAUGCCGAAGAGCUCUGUCCCAUUCCGUCCCUUA
This 297-nucleotide small RNA is filed under the name Ruminiclostridium hungatei. RNAcentral describes it as "Clostridium hungatei 5' ureB small RNA". It matches the Rfam family "5' ureB small RNA". The record is from Rfam by way of RNAcentral. Lineage: Bacteria; Bacillati; Bacillota; Clostridia; Eubacteriales; Oscillospiraceae.